AAUUUACAAAAGAUUUUAUUCACUUCAACAACUCUAUAGCAACUGUUUUCUCUUCUCCUUUCUCUUUUUAUUCAUUUUUUUUCUUUUUCAGAAGGAGUGUGUAUUGAUUGACAUCCUUCUAUUUUUUUCAUUCAUUUUUUUUCUUUUCUAUUUUUCUUUUCUUUUUCUGCCAACUUCUGAAAUAUUACAAGCAUAAUUAUUCAACCCUACACAAUUCCAAACAAGACCCUUCCAACCCUUUGAAUAGGGUGAUAACAUUAUUUUUCACUUUUCGGUUUGUAAUGAGUUUUAAAUAAAAA
Molecule: long non-coding RNA, 299 nt
Filed under: Lathyrus oleraceus (garden pea)
Lineage: Eukaryota; Viridiplantae; Streptophyta; Magnoliopsida; Fabales; Fabaceae
Description: Pisum sativum (pea) long non-coding RNA (PSAT_LNC034722)
Source: RNAcentral